This 178-nucleotide non-coding RNA is filed under the name Nitrosospira sp. RNAcentral describes it as "6S RNA". It matches the Rfam family "6S / SsrS RNA". Rfam says of the family: E. coli 6S RNA was the first non coding RNA to be sequenced, but its function was unknown until recently. It consists of 184 nucleotides that fold into an extended hairpin structure with a large single-stranded internal bulge. Lineage: Bacteria; Pseudomonadati; Pseudomonadota; Betaproteobacteria; Nitrosomonadales; Nitrosomonadaceae. The record is from RNAcentral.
UGUUCCCUGCGGUGUUCGUUUAGGCCCAUAUUCUUUGAACCAAUCUUUGAGUAAUGGUUUCGAGCCAAUGCGACACUGUUGCGCGCUUCCCUUGCGGAAGUGCCUGAUGUGUCCGGCAAGAGACCACCUUGGACCCUACGGUUCAAGAUAAUGGCCUGACGGCAUCUGCGGGGAGCUU